This 304-nucleotide long non-coding RNA is filed under the name Salmo salar (Atlantic salmon). RNAcentral's name for it is "lncRNA (ENSSSAG00000102135.1, ENSSSAG00000106828.1)". The record is from RNAcentral. Lineage: Eukaryota; Metazoa; Chordata; Actinopteri; Salmoniformes; Salmonidae.
CCUGGACAAGGGGAACUGUUUCAACAUAUCACAUGUCAGCGUUCUCUGGUUGAAAUCAAGCACCUAUAUUAAUAUUGAACAGUGAUUGGUUUGGUUUGGUGAUAAUAAUAGAGUGACUGCAUGGGGGUCUAUAAUGCUUAGACUAGGAGGAGACCAUGUGACCUGACCAUGUGACCUGACCAGGAAAUACUGACCCUAUAUGACAGUGUUUCCCUCCUCCAGUACCCCCCCAACAGCCCAACUCCAGUCCUCCAUACCCCCCCAACAGCCCAACUCCAGUCCUCCAGUACCCCCCAACAGCCCA